UAUCGGAUUGAUACUAAGCCAUGCGAGUCAUUGUAGCAAUACAAGGCAUACGGCUCAGUAACGCGUAGUCAACCUAACCUAUGGACGGGAAUAACCUCGGGAAACUGAGAAUAAUGCCCGAUAGAACAUUAUGCCUGGAAUGGUUUAUGUUCCAAAUGAUUUAUCGCCGUAGGAUGGGACUGCGGCCUAUCAGUUUGUUGGUGAGGUAAUGGCCCACCAAGACUAUUACAGGUACGGGCUCUGAGAGGAGUAGCCCGGAGAUGGGUACUGAGACACGGACCCAGGCCCUAUGGGGCGCAGCAGGCGAGAAAACUUUGCAAUGUGCGAAAGCACGACAAGGUUAAUCCGAGUGGUUUCUGCUAAAGGAACCUUUUGUCAGUCCUAGAAACACUGAUGAAUAAGGGGUGGGCAAGUUCUGGUGUCAGCCGCCGCGGUAAAACCAGCACCUCAAGUGGUCAGGAUGAUUAUUGGGCCUAAAGCAUCCGUAGCCGGCUCUGUAAGUUUUCGGUUAAAUCUGUACGGUCAACGUACAGGCUGCCGGGAAUACUGCAAAGCUAGGGAGUGGGAGAGGUAGACGGUACUCGGUAGGAAGGGGUAAAAUCCUUUGAUCUAUUGAUGACCACCUGUGGCGAAGGCGGUCUACCAGAACACGUCCGACGGUGAGGGAUGAAAGCUGGGGGAGCAAACCGGAUUAGAUACCCGGGUAGUCCCAGCUGUAAACCAUGCAAACUCAGUGAUGCAUUGGCUUGUGGCCAAUGCAGUGCUGCAGGGAAGCCGUUAAGUUUGCCGCCUGGGAAGUACGUACGCAAGUAUGAAACUUAAAGGAAUUGGCGGGGGAGCACCACAAGGGGUGAAGCCUGCGGUUCAAUUGGAGUC
This 876-nucleotide ribosomal RNA is filed under the name uncultured archaeon. RNAcentral describes it as "bacterial SSU rRNA". It matches the Rfam family "Archaeal small subunit ribosomal RNA", at positions 31 to 913 of the family's 1478-position model. The record is from RNAcentral.